GGGCCCAGGCCCCCCGCGCCGCCACCGCCGAUAGUGCCCGUUGGGCAUCUGCCAGCCAUGCCUCAGCGGCGGCGCCGAGCCAAUGGUGUUGGAGCGGCCCAGGCUGGUGGCCACGGCGGCUUCGAAGGUGCGGCUGGACCAUGGAGCAUACACUUAGAGGAGCACGGAUCUGGAAGCUCAAAAAAUGUUAACAGGGGGCACACGGAAAGAAAGCCUUGCAACCUUGAAGGAAGACAGCUACAUGCAAGGGGCUCCACUUCCUCUCCAGGCUCACCUGUCUGUUGGGGGUCUGUGACCGGCCCUCACUGGGAGACCUGGACUGCUGGCGCUCUGGGGACUCCCAGUCGGCCUGGGUCCCUCGCUCCUCUGAGUUGCAGCGGGAGACAUCGGGAGAGAGAAGAUGCUUUCGCUCUUUCGACCGUCCCCGCUCUCUGCCCCCUGAGCGGUGGGUGUCAGACUUGUGGCCUGGGAGAGAUGACAAAAGCACGUGAUCACAACUCUACACAUACUGGCCUCUGAACAUAAAGAGAUGUCAUACAGCCUGGGAGGGACUGGGCCCCUGAGGAAUACUAGCUUCUCCAGGCAUGUCAACAGGUGAUCUGAAAGGGAGGCAGGAAGGAAAGGUUAGAAAAUUACCCUUUUGUGAAGAGGAAAGUGUGCAAGUUGCCAUUGGAAAGACACACAUGUCAAAGGAUGCACUUGAUUCUCUUCUGCUUCUGUUUAUGCUAAAACACAAUUAAGAUAGAAUCUUUGCCAACAAUAUGGCCCAGGAAUUCUCUAUGUCCUAAACACGGGUGUGGCAUCAGUAAAGGGCUGGAGGUCAAAGGGUUUCAGUCCACUGAGGACUUCUAGUCCCAUUUCUGCCACUUACUGGCCCUAUGCUAGAGGCAUGUCACUGCUUUGUGAUCUGUUUCCUCAUCUAGUAAAAUAGAAACCAUUAGAAAAUCAUGAGAAUGCUUCAAACUCUAUCAGUAUGACCCUUUUCCUUAAAAAAGACAAACAAAACUCAAAAACCUAAAAAAAUUCCAGGUAGCACUACUGGGGUUGAAGUGGAGUUGGCAGUAAGAGCCCAGCCCCUGCCAGGAAUGUGUUAGAGAGACCCCCUAAGGCAGGGCACCUGGGUGGCUCAGUGGGUUAAGCGGCUGCCUUCAAGUCAGGUCAUGAUCCUGGGGUCCUGGGAUCGAGCCCCGCAUCGGGCUACCUGCUCAGCAGAGAGCCUGCUUCUCCCUCCUGCUCUGCCUACUUGUGCUGUCAUCAAAUAAAUAAAUAAAAAUCUUUAAUAAUAAUAAAAAGAAGAAACCCC
Molecule: long non-coding RNA, 1303 nt
Organism: Mirounga angustirostris (Northern elephant seal)
Lineage: Eukaryota; Metazoa; Chordata; Mammalia; Carnivora; Phocidae
Exons: 3
Source: RefSeq, a predicted model, not a curated record